RNAcentral lists this ribosomal RNA (1491 nucleotides) under uncultured bacterium. Its description in RNAcentral is "bacterial SSU rRNA". It matches the Rfam family "Bacterial small subunit ribosomal RNA". The record is from RNAcentral.
GUUUGAUCAUGGCUCAGGAUGAACGCUGGCGGCAUGCCUAAUACAUGCAAGUCGAACGAGAAUCAUUGAGGUGCUUGCACCACUUUGAUUCUAGUGGCGAACGGGUGAGUAACACGUGAGAAAUCUGCCCUUUAGACUGGGAUAACUACUGGAAACGGUUUGUAAUACCGGAUGUCUUCUUUGUACCGCAUGGUACUUAGAGAAAAGCUUAGAUGCACUAAAGGAUGAUCUCGCGGCGUAUUAGUUAGUUGGUGAGAUAGUGGCUCACCAAGACAAUGAUACGUAGCCGGCCUGAGAGGGUGACCGGCCACACUGGGACUGAGACACGGCCCAGACUCCUACGGGAGGCAGCAGUAGGGAAUCAUCGGCAAUGGGGGAAACCCUGACCGUGCAAUGCCGCGUGAGUGAUGAAGGCCUUCGGGUUGUAAAACUCUGUUGUGAAGGAAGAACAACCUAGAUAGAAUCUAGGUCUGACGGUACUUCACCAGAAAGCCAUGGCUAACUACGUGCCAGCAGCCGCGGUAAUACGUAGAUGGCAAGCGUUAUCCGGAUUUAUUGGGCGUAAAGGGUGCUCAGCUGGUUUAUUAAGUUUGUAGUUAAAAUUCGAAGCUCAACUUCGAAGUGCUGCGAAAACUGGUAAACUUGAGUACAGGAGAGGGUAGUGGAAUUCCAUGUGAAGCGGUAAAAUGCGUAGAUAUAUGGAGGAACACCAGUGGCGAAGGCGGCUACCUGGCCUGUAACUGACGGUCAAGCACGAAAGCGUGGGGAGCAAAUAGGAUUAGAUACCCUAGUAGUCCACGCCGUAAACGAUGAAUACUAAGUGUUGGAGAAAUUCAGUGCUACAGUUAACGCAAUAAGUAUUCCGCCUGGGGAGUAUGCGCGCAAGCGUAAAACUCAAAGGAAUUGACGGGGGCCCGCACAAGCGGUGGAUCAUGUGGUUUAAUUCGACGCAACGCGAAGAACCUUACCAGGUCUUGACAUAUCGGGCAAAACUCUAGAGAUAGAGCUAUAAUUAUUCCGAAUACAGGUGGUGCAUGGUUGUCGUCAGCUCGUGUCGUGAGAUGUUGGGUUAAGUCCCGUAACGAGCGCAACCCCUAUCUUUAGUUGCCAGCAUUAAGUUGGGGACUCUAAAGAGACUGCCGGUGAUAAACCGGAGGAAGGUGGGGAUGAGGUCAAAUCAUCAUGCCCCUUAUGACCUGGGCUACACACGUGAUACAAUGGCGUAUACAACGGGAAGCGAAACAGUGAUGUGGAGCAAAUCCUAAAAAGUACGUCUCAGUUCGGAUCGUAGUCUGCAACUCGACUACGUGAAGUUGGAAUCGCUAGUAAUCGCAGAUCAGAAUGCUGCGGUGAAUACGUUCUCGGGCCUUGUACACACCGCCCGUCAAACCAUGAAAGUCGGUAGUACCCGAAACCGGUCGCCUAACCAGCCUAGCUGGAGGGAGCCGUCUAAGGUAAGAUUGAUGAUUGGGGUUAAGUCGUAACAAGGUA